Molecule: non-coding RNA, 96 nt
Organism: Podospora fimiseda
Lineage: Eukaryota; Fungi; Ascomycota; Sordariomycetes; Sordariales; Podosporaceae
Source: the annotation of a GenBank genome assembly
GUCCCCGUAGCGCAGUGAUCGAGCGUUUGUCUGUUUUUUCUAGCGAAUUUUGAUUUAAAGUAGCGAAAGACGUCGGUUCGAAUCCGACCGGGGAGA